This 145-nucleotide microRNA precursor is filed under the name Olea europaea subsp. europaea. The record is from RNAcentral. Lineage: Eukaryota; Viridiplantae; Streptophyta; Magnoliopsida; Lamiales; Oleaceae.
AGCAGCUUGCUGCCUUUAAAAGGCAGCAAAACUGCUGCCUUAAAAAGGCCGCCGAAUUUAAAAAAAAAAAAUAAAUUUUGAAGGCAAAACUGCUGCCUUUUAAAGGCAGCAGUUCGCUGCCUUAUAUUUAAGGCAGCAGCUUGCU